RNAcentral lists this transfer RNA (159 nucleotides) under Candidatus Aenigmatarchaeota archaeon. Its description in RNAcentral is "tRNA-Arg". Lineage: Archaea; Nanobdellati; Candidatus Aenigmatarchaeota. The record is from RNAcentral.
GGGCCCGUAACUUAACCGGAUAGAGUACCCGGCUUCGGACCGGGAAAUCGGGGUUCGAGGCACCCUUUUAAGGGUCUGAAGCAGGCUUUGCCUGCUUCUAACUGAAGAAAAGGCUGCACCCAAAAACCCAAAGGGGUGACGAAAAUCCUCGCGGGCCCA